ACCUGGGAGGAGAACUGAUGACCUCUGUCAGAGGCCAUGUCAAUGGGGAUACCGUGGAGUCUGAAGACAUGCUGGACAAGGAGGUGAGCAGUUUCGACUUGGAUGAACUCCUUGGUGUCUUUAACAAGGCUGGGACACCAGAAGUGCAUGGUGCAGAUUACAAAGUAUUGAUCCCAACAGCGACCCCUGGAGGACACCAAUCGUUUCAUCCCAAACUUUUGGCUGAUAUUUUCCCAGGGAAUUUUCCAGACCAAAUGAACACGUUACAGAGCGUUCAUCCAAAGAAUCCCAUACCGGCUCGGUCGUGGCCCGGUUGAACAACGGCCGGCCAAGGUCCAGACCUAAAUCCCACAGACGCUCUCCAGCCA
Phyllopteryx taeniolatus (common seadragon) is the source of this 368-nucleotide long non-coding RNA. RefSeq lists it as uncharacterized. The record is from RefSeq and is a predicted model, not a curated record. The transcript is spliced from 3 exons. NCBI's taxonomy places the organism in Eukaryota, Metazoa, Chordata, Actinopteri, Syngnathiformes, Syngnathidae.